UAUGAAUGUCGCAUGACAAACAUAUCAAAGUAUUUAUCGCUGAAAGAUGAGCUCGCGUCUGAUUAGAUAGUUGGUGAGGUAACGGGCCCCACCAAGUCGACGAUCAGUAGCCGGACUGAGAGGUUUGGACGGCCACAUUGGGACUGAGACACGGCCCAGACUCCUACGGGAGGCAGCAGUGGGGAAUAUUGCACAAUGGAGGAAACUCUGAUGCAGCGAUGCCGCGUGAGGGAAGAAGGUUUUAGGAUUGUAAACCUCUGUCUUUGGGGACGAUAAUGACGGUACCCAAGGAGGAAGCUCCGGCUAACUACGUG
Molecule: ribosomal RNA, 314 nt
Filed under: uncultured bacterium
Lineage: Bacteria
Description: bacterial SSU rRNA
Rfam family: Bacterial small subunit ribosomal RNA
Source: RNAcentral